UACAUGCAGUCGAAGGACUCUUCGGAGUUAGUGGCGGACGGGUGAGUAAACGCCCCUACGCGCCUUUAGGUUCGGAAUAAGCCCGGGAAACUGGGUCUAAUACCGAAUGUGCCCUUCGGGGGAAAGAUUUAUCGCCUUUAGAGCGGCCCGCGUCUGAUUAGCUAGUUGGUAGUGUAAUGGACUACCAAGGCUACGAUCAGUAGCUGGUCUGAGAGGAUGACCAGCCCCAUUGGGACUGAGACACGGCCCAAACUCCUACGGGAGGCAGCAGUGGGGAAUCUUGCGCAAUGGGCGAAAGCCUGACGCAGCCAUGCCGCGUGAAUGAUGAAGGUCUUAGGAUUGUAAAAUUCUUUCACCGGGGACGAUAAUGACGGUACCCGGAGAAGAAGCCCCGGCUAACUUCGUGCCAGCAGCCGCGGUAAUACGAAGGGGGCUAGCGUUGCUCGGAAUUACUGGGCGUAAAGGGCGCGUAGGCGGACUUUUAAGUCAGGGGUGAAAUCCCAGAGCUCAACUCUGGAACUGCCUUUGAUACUGGGUGUCUUGAGUGUGAGAGAGGUAUGUGGAACUCCCAGUGUAGAGGUGAAAUUCCGUAGAUUUUCGGAAGAACCCCCGUGGCGAAGGCGACAUACUGGCUCAUUACUGACGCUGAGGCGCGAAAGCGUGGGGAGCAAACAGGAUUAGAUACCCUGGUAGCCCACCCCGUAAACCAAGAUUGCUAGUUGCCGGCUUGCAUGCCUUUCGGUGACCCAGCUAACGCAUUAAGCCAUCCCCCCUGGGGAGUACGGUCCCCAAAAUUAAAACUCA
Molecule: ribosomal RNA, 804 nt
Filed under: uncultured Alphaproteobacteria bacterium
Lineage: Bacteria; Pseudomonadati; Pseudomonadota; Alphaproteobacteria
Description: bacterial SSU rRNA
Rfam family: Bacterial small subunit ribosomal RNA
Source: RNAcentral